RNAcentral lists this unclassified non-coding RNA (584 nucleotides) under uncultured Bartonella sp. Its description in RNAcentral is "partial 16S-23S ribosomal RNA intergenic spacer". The record is from RNAcentral. Lineage: Bacteria; Pseudomonadati; Pseudomonadota; Alphaproteobacteria; Hyphomicrobiales; Bartonellaceae.
AAUAAAGCCUGAUCUGUUUUUAAUAAGCAGAAGGUUUAGAUAUAUGUUUAAACUUAUGAAACUUAAAGAACAUGAAUUUUAAAGAGGCUUUAUGAAGAAAGUAUUUUAAGCUUUUCCAGUAAUUUAAGAUGAUACCGGGGAAGGUUUUCCGGUUUAUCCCGGAGGGCUUGUAGCUCAGUUGGUUAGAGCGCGCGCUUGAUAAGCGUGAGGUCGGAGGUUCAAGUCCUCCCAGGCCCACCAAUUUAUGCUCGCUUUUUUCUUGUUUAAGAGUAUGAAGCUUAUUAAAGCCUCUACAAUCUUUUUUCCUUGUUAAGGAUUUAAUUUUAUUAUCUAAGGAUUGUUUAGUGCAUUUAUUCCGUUAAAUUUGUCAAAGAGGAUUUUAAGAUGUCUUCAAAGAUGUAGACAAAUUUGAAUGAUAGGAAUCGAAAUAGUAUAAGUGAUUCAAGUCGAUGGAUUUUUUGAGGUUGAUUUGAUUUGAGUGAGCAUUAUUUAGGGGCCGUAGCUCAMCUGGGAGAGCACCUGCUUUGCAAGCAGGGGGYCGUCGGUUCGAUCCCGYCCGGCUCCACCAUUAUAUCAUCAUCAUG